This 1110-nucleotide long non-coding RNA is filed under the name Citrus x clementina. Its description in RNAcentral is "Citrus clementina (C. clementina) long non-coding RNA (CCLE_LNC003609)". The record is from RNAcentral. Lineage: Eukaryota; Viridiplantae; Streptophyta; Magnoliopsida; Sapindales; Rutaceae.
CAAAAGGGGAUUUUAAUGCCAAUUUUAAAAAAAUUUAAGAGUUUUUGUGACUAUUUCUCCAAACUUUGGAGAUAUAGUUAUCCUUUUCUCAUUUUAAUACUUUCUAUCACGUAAAAUAUACUCAAAUCCAAUCUUUAGUAAGGUUUGCAAACAAGCUAAGCUAGCUCAGCCUUGGCUAAGCCCAAGUCCCACCCUCAUAGAGUUGGGUCACGCUCAGCAUUGGGCCUCUAAAAAAAAAAUCAUGAUUUAAAAUUUUAAAAUUAAAUUUUAAGUUAUUGAAAAUUGUACUUAAAUAAUUUUAAGUUUCAAAAAGUCAAAGUCUAACUCUAGUGGCAUGGAAUAAAGAGUAAUAUUCUUAAGGCUCUAGUCUUAAGUUUGAACUUCAAUGGAUGCAUGAGUUAAUAAAAAAAAAGUUUAAAAAACAUUCAAUCAUAAGGAUUUCUUAGGUUUGAUAUAGUUAGACAAAACAAACAAGGGUGUAUCAAGUAUUUAGGUGGAAUUUAAAAAAUAAUUAAAAUUGAGAUAUGGCGAAGCUAGCUUCUUUUUUUUUUUCCCGAAAGCCUUGGCUUAUGCCCUUAGCGGGUGGGCCGAGAUAACUUCUUUCGGGCCUGGGUUGGGCUGGCCCAGACCUUUUUACACACUUUUAGGUCAUAUGGAUCUAACUAGACCAAAACAUGUGCAACACCCUUUUAUUUCUUUAUUAGUGAUCAUGGUAAUUAUUAAUAAACAAAUAGGAAUUGUUAUUUCUUUUAAUUUGUUAAUUAGGAGAAUUUUGGGAAUGAUUUAGGCUUUUUUAAUUUACUAGGGUUUUUCAAGGGUUCCCUGUAGAAUACAUUUUUUUUUUUCAAUUUCCUUCUCUCAACCUUAAUUUCUACACUAUCAUAUCUUUCUCUCAGCAACCUUUUUUGCUUCUACAAUAUAGGUGGUCUAGACGGGUUGGAGCCCGGUCUAGCCCUGGGAAAAAUUCAUUAAUACCCCUUAAGUUUUCUUAUUUUUCAUCUAAUAUUAUAGUUUUUAUUUUCUUUUCAAUCAUGUUCCCAAUUCAACUCUUUUUAUUGUUUUACAAGUAGAGUUAGAUAUUUGUAUUACCACAUGAUUAAAUUAUAUAUU